RNAcentral lists this ribosomal RNA (340 nucleotides) under Enterobacter hormaechei. Its description in RNAcentral is "bacterial SSU rRNA". It matches the Rfam family "Bacterial small subunit ribosomal RNA", at positions 814 to 1159 of the family's 1533-position model. The record is from RNAcentral. Lineage: Bacteria; Pseudomonadati; Pseudomonadota; Gammaproteobacteria; Enterobacterales; Enterobacteriaceae.
GACUUGGAGGUGUGCCCUUGAGGCGGGUUCCGGAGCUAACGCGUUAAGCGACCGCCUGGGGAGUACGGCCGCAAGGUAAAACUCAAAUGAAUUGACGGGGGCCCGCACAAGCGGAGGAGCAUGUGGUUUAAUUCGAUGCAACGCGAAGAACCUUACCUACUCUUGACAUCCAGAGAACUUUCCAGAGAUGGAUUGGUGCCUUCGGGAACUCUGAGACAGGGGCUGCAUGGUUGUCGUCAGCUCGUGUUGUGAAAUGUUGGGUUAAGUCCCGCAACGAGCGCAACCCUUAUCCUUUGUUGCCAGCGGUUAGGCCGGGAACUCAAAGGAGACUGCCAGUGAU